CGCCGCCCCGGAGGCUGGAACGGGGCUGUCUGAAGGGAUCCGGGACCUUCCCGGUGCCACAGGGGCUCUGGUGUCCCCUCAGAGCGGGGCUCCACGGCCUGUAGCCUCAGGCAUCCCCGCAGGAGCCGUGUCUGGAGGAGUCUCCAGCUUGGAUCCCAGAACGAGAAGAGUGAGUGCGUGGGGAGCUGAUGGCAAAGACCGGGAAUGGAGAACUUCAGUAAAAGAACGAGUAUGAGGUGGUGCAUGGAGCCAGCGGCUGGAGCCCUGGAGAGGUGGAUUCACAGGCUGCUCACUGGUGUGUGUGAGGAGGAAGAGGAGCUCUGGGGUGUGGGUCUGUUCCCACAAACUGGCAGAUAAAACUUUCUAAGACUCAAUUGAAAGUUCAGAAAGCAGGCAUUCUUUGUUGCAGCACCAGGUGCUCCUCCUGUUGUGCACUGUUGUCUAAUUAAGUUUAUACACAACAGGUAUACAUAUUCAAUGCAAUUCCAAGAAAAUAUUAGCAUAUUCAUUACAUUUCUGAUCAUUCAUUUACAUAUAAUAAUAAGCUUUGGGGCAUUCGUAGUUGUGCCUUCUGGUGGUUCUCAUUUUGACUGAGGGUCAUUUCUUCUUCAAUCUUCAUCUUCUUCACCUGGCCUUUGGCUCACUUUUCAUGUUGGCAAAACAUUCUAACUGCUUAAUUGUUCAUUAAAACUAAUGAUCUCCCAGCUACCA
Molecule: long non-coding RNA, 711 nt
Organism: Calidris pugnax (ruff)
Lineage: Eukaryota; Metazoa; Chordata; Aves; Charadriiformes; Scolopacidae
Exons: 2
Source: RefSeq, a predicted model, not a curated record